Molecule: non-coding RNA, 20 nt
Filed under: Rattus norvegicus (Norway rat)
Lineage: Eukaryota; Metazoa; Chordata; Mammalia; Rodentia; Muridae
Source: RNAcentral
UUAACUGGAUAUGUUGUUGC